RNAcentral lists this ribosomal RNA (472 nucleotides) under Mantidactylus femoralis. Its description in RNAcentral is "partial 12S ribosomal RNA". The stretch from base 1 to 396 matches the Rfam family "Bacterial small subunit ribosomal RNA", at positions 949 to 1533 of the family's 1533-position model. Lineage: Eukaryota; Metazoa; Chordata; Amphibia; Anura; Mantellidae. The record is from RNAcentral.
AAUCGAUGAUCCUCGAUAUACCUCACCAUUUUUUGCUUUUUCAGCCUGUAUACCUCCGUCGCAAACCUACCACCUGAGUGUCCCAAAGUAAGUCCAACUGGGCCCCAACACGCCAAUACGUCAGGUCAAGGUGCAGCCCAUAAAAUGGGAAGCAAUGGGCUACAAUUUCUAAAAUAGAACAAACAUAAAACUGCAUGAAACAUAGUCAUGAAGGCGGAUUUAGUAGUAAAAGAAGAACAGCAAGCUUCUUUUAACAGGGCCCUGGGACGUGUACAAACCGCCCGUCACCCUCUUCAACAGCACCCAUCUAGCUAUAUAACAUCUUCUUAGCACCCUAGAAGAGGCAAGUCGUAACAUGGUAAGUGUACUGGAAAGUGCACUUGGAAAACAAAGUAUAGCUUAAUUAAAGCAUUUCGCUUACACCGAAAAAACAUCUGUUAAACUCAGUUUACCUUGAGCCCUAAAUCUAGCC